GUGGAGCUUGUCAAAAGUACUGCUUCUCCUGCUGGUCAGGCUAUCAGCUGGGCAAAAGAGGGUCAAAGCUGAAGCAAGUUGUUGACAAGUUGUAUGGAGAUGAAGAACCAAGAUCUGGUUGGACUGCGGCUUCUUCUACUUCGCAGAAAGGGAAGGAGCUGGACACCGUUACUAUCGACGGCCAAGCAACAAGAGAGAAACUGAAGCAAGAGGUGAUCGAAGCCGUGCUGGACAAUAGGUAUGUUGUUGUUGGGUUGCACGGCAUGGGGGGUGUGGGCAAAACAACACUCCUACAACACGUCAAUGAGCACUUUCGAAUAACCGAUCACUUUCAAUCUGUGAUUUUCAUCACCUUGUCAGCCACACCAAAUUUUGUAGAAAUACGAAAACAAAUUGCCAAAGGUUUAGGCUUGGAUUUGAACAAAUGCGAAGGUGACAACGACUUGAAAGAAAAAUUGUCUCGUCUUUCAAGAACAACCAAGUAUAUGUUGAUUUUAGAUGACAUGUGGGAGCCUGUUAUUGAUCUUGCUGAAAUUUGCAUUGAUGCACCAAAGAAGGGGAAUGGCUGCAAAAUAUUAAUUGCUUCUAGAUCAUUAUCAGUGGUUACAAGGUUUGUCACUCGCUUUGAAGCAAAACAUUCUCUUCAGAUCGAUUCCAGUGAACAAAUUGCCAUCGGAUGAAGCCUGGACUCUUUUUGUUGAAAAAGUUGGUGUAGAUAUUACAUCUAAACCAGAAAUAGAACCCCUAGCUAAAGAGGUUCUUAGAAGGUGUGAUGGAUUGCCGCUGGCCAUUGUUGUUAUUGGUCGUACAAUGUCAACAGGACAAACAGAGGGAGAAUGGAAACACGCUAUUCACGAAUUGGAGCAAGCUUCAAAUCUUGAAAGUGUAGUAAAAGAAGAGGUAUUUUCAAAACUCAUUUUUAGUUUUGAAAAAUUGGAACCUAUCCAACAAUCCCUCUUCCUGUUCUGCUGUCUAUUUCCUGAGGAUUGGAUCUAUAACAAAGAGAAAUUAGC
Telopea speciosissima is the source of this 1013-nucleotide long non-coding RNA. RefSeq lists it as uncharacterized. The record is from RefSeq and is a predicted model, not a curated record. Lineage: Eukaryota; Viridiplantae; Streptophyta; Magnoliopsida; Proteales; Proteaceae. The transcript has 3 exons.